Heterocephalus glaber (naked mole-rat) is the source of this 821-nucleotide long non-coding RNA. The record is from Ensembl. NCBI's taxonomy places the organism in Eukaryota, Metazoa, Chordata, Mammalia, Rodentia, Bathyergidae.
GGCUCCACAACAGCUAGGGAUGUAUUAUUUUCCCGUUUGGUUGGGAAGAAACAGGCUCAGAGAGGCGAGGCAGCAGGAACUCAGGCCAUGUCACUUGGUGACAGGUGGCCCAGUGUCUUUAUUCUGCAACCAGAGAAGUGCAAGGCCACCCGUCACAAGGCUGAGCAGGUGUUGAGGCCUGGCUGUUUGAGUCCACUGCUGUGUCACUGGAGCAAGGAUAUUGAGACCAGAGUGCUCCUGAUCUGGUGGCCGAAGAAACCCGAGUCUUGACUUCUGCGGACGGCUGACGCCUCUGGCACGAGCCUUCUUUGACUCUGCCCUCGUUCUGGUUCUCCUGGGGGGCUGGGGUGGGGCAGAACUUCCUCAGGAUCUUCUGGAGUCUACGCCCAGGGACACUGCCUCUGCACCCAUCAGGGCUAUGGGUGGGGGCAAGGCAGCAGCAGGGGCAGGGACAGCUCAGAAGUUUGUUCCACCUGUCAGGCCCAGCCUGAGACCCUCUCCAGGUACCCUGGUCUCUCCUGGCCCUGGGAUCACCUCAUUAGCCAUGCCUGGCACUGGCCUUGGGGAAGGCAUGGUGUUGGUUUUGGCACACAUUGCCACGGUUGCUGGAGCAGGCAGCCCGUGGGCAGGAUGCCCUUGGGAACGUUCCUCAACCCAGCUGAGUGUGCAUGGUGCUGGGUGGAAAGCAGGAAGGAUCUCAAAGGCGUCUCCAGCCCCUGGACGGCCAGGAAGAGAGAGGGUCCCCCAUGUGCAGCUGUGGGAGGAGCUGCCAUCCCAGAGCCCCACUAUCCAGGUCAUGGAAAGAGGAACCCGAGAGCCCU